Molecule: transfer RNA, 71 nt
Filed under: Danionella translucida
Lineage: Eukaryota; Metazoa; Chordata; Actinopteri; Cypriniformes; Danionidae
Also listed under: 1 other name
Rfam family: tRNA
About the family: Transfer RNA (tRNA) molecules are approximately 80 nucleotides in length. Their secondary structure includes four short double-helical elements and three loops (D, anti-codon, and T loops).
Source: Rfam by way of RNAcentral
GGCUCGUUGGUCUAGGGGUAUGAUUCUCGCUUUGGGUGCGAGAGGUCCAGGGUUCAAAUCCUGUUGAGCCC